This is a long non-coding RNA of Osmia bicornis bicornis, 635 nucleotides long. RefSeq lists it as uncharacterized. The record is from RefSeq and is a predicted model, not a curated record. The transcript has 3 exons. Lineage: Eukaryota; Metazoa; Arthropoda; Insecta; Hymenoptera; Megachilidae.
UGACGGACGAAAGGGCGCGAAGUGUCUGGUGCAUAAGGUGCCUGAAGUUGUUGCAUUCGCCUCUCAUUCGCUUAUGCGCGAGUAUUGGUAGAGUAUGCUUCAAUCACGUUACGUACCGGAGGCUAAACAUAAAAUGGAGGUGUGCCCUUAAUUAAAGCAGCAGGUAUUUUAUGCUCAAAUGACUGUACUUACAUGCAUGAUGCUGAAGAAGAAGAGGAAGACUUCUGUUGUUUUUGCUGAUGAUUUUGGAACCAGCGAUCAUAUAUCUUCAGAUCUGUUGCUGAUCAAGCACUUUUCAAUUCACACGUUUAAACACAUAAAUUUCAUAAAAUAAGAAUUUAAUUAUUCUUUAUUAGUACUUUUUUUAAAUAUGUACAUAUUUGAUUGUUGGUAAUUGAAAUAUUAAUUUUACGCGGCAAUUAGGAAUGUUUCAUUUACAAAACGUUAAAUUCUACUGUCAAAUAGUAAAGCUUAUCUCUGAUAAGUAGAGCAUACAAUCUCACUUCAGAGCUAUAAAUAUACUAAAGUUAAUGAUUUACAGUUCCAUUCAAUGCAUUUGCGUUUUAUCAGCAGAUAGAGUAUCCUGUACAAUGAUGCUUUCAUUUGAUAAAUAAAUUUUAAUUUUUUUAUUCUAA